GCCGGGCGUGGUGGCGGGCGCCUGUAAUCCCAGCUACUUGGGAGGCUGAGGCAGGAGAAUCGCUUGAACCCGGGAGGCAGAGGUUGCAGUGAGCCGAGGUCGCCCCACUGCACUCCAGCCUGGGCAACAAAAGUGAAACUCUGCCUCAA
This 149-nucleotide non-coding RNA is filed under the name Nomascus leucogenys (northern white-cheeked gibbon). The record is from Rfam by way of RNAcentral. Lineage: Eukaryota; Metazoa; Chordata; Mammalia; Primates; Hylobatidae.